AACCUCCGCAAUGUGAGAAAUCGCGACGGGGGGAUCCCAAGUGCCAUUCUUAACGGGAUGGCUUUUCAUUAGUGUAAAGAGCUUUUGGAAUAAGGGCUGGGCAAGACCGGUGCCAGCCGCCGCGGUAACACCGGCAGCUCUAGUGGUAGCAAUUUUUAUUGGGCCUAAAGCGUCCGUAGCCGGUUUAAUAAGUCUCUGGUGAAAUCCUGCAGCUUAACUGUGGGAAUUGCUGGAGAUACUAUUAGACUCGAGAUCGGGAGAGGUUAGAGGUACUCCCAGGGUAGAGGUGAAAUUCUGUAAUCCUGGGAGGACCGCCUGUUGCGAAGGCGUCUAACUGGAACGAUUCUGACGGUGAGGGACGAAAGUUAGGGGCGCGAACCGGAUUAGAUACCCGGGUAGUCCUAACUGUAAACGAUGCGGACUUGGUGUUGGGGUGGCUUUGAGCUGCUCCAGUGCCGAAGGGAAGCUGUAAAUCCGCCGCCUGGAGUACGGUCGCAAGACUGAAACUUAAAGGAAUU
Molecule: ribosomal RNA, 518 nt
Filed under: uncultured bacterium
Lineage: Bacteria
Description: bacterial SSU rRNA
Rfam family: Archaeal small subunit ribosomal RNA
Source: RNAcentral